UACGUAGGGGGCAAGCGUUGUCCGGAAUCAUUGGGCGUAAAGCGCGUGUAGGCGGUUCGGUAAGUCGGCUGUGAAAGUCCAGGGCUCAACCCUGGGAUGCCGGUCGAUACUGUCGGGCUAGAGUGCGGAAGAGGCGAGUGGAAUUCCUGGUGUAGCGGUGAAAUGCGCAGAUAUCGGGAGGAACACCUAUGGCGAAGGCAGCUCGCUGGGACGUUACUGACGCUGAGACGCGAAAGCGUGGGGAGCAAACAGG
RNAcentral lists this ribosomal RNA (253 nucleotides) under uncultured bacterium. RNAcentral describes it as "partial 16S ribosomal RNA". It matches the Rfam family "Bacterial small subunit ribosomal RNA", at positions 524 to 776 of the family's 1533-position model. The record is from RNAcentral.